UACGUAGGGGGCAAGCGUUGUCCGGAUUUAUUGAGCGUAAAGAGCGUGUAGGCGGUCAGGUAGGUCCGUUGUGAAAACUCGAGGCUCAACCUCGAGACGCCGAUGGAAACCAUCUGACUAGAGUCCGGAAGAGGAGAGUGGAAUUCCUGGUGUAGCGGUGAAAUGCGCAGAUAUCAGGAAGAACACCCGUGGCUAAGGCGGCUCUCUAGUACGGUACUGACGCUGAGACGCGAAAGCGUGGGGAGCGAACAGG
Molecule: ribosomal RNA, 253 nt
Filed under: uncultured bacterium
Lineage: Bacteria
Description: partial 16S ribosomal RNA
Rfam family: Bacterial small subunit ribosomal RNA
Source: RNAcentral